RNAcentral lists this ribosomal RNA (253 nucleotides) under uncultured bacterium. Its description in RNAcentral is "partial 16S ribosomal RNA". It matches the Rfam family "Bacterial small subunit ribosomal RNA", at positions 524 to 776 of the family's 1533-position model. The record is from RNAcentral.
UACAGAGGUCUCAAGCGUUGUUCGGAAUCACUGGGCGUAAAGCGUGCGUAGGCUGUUUCGUAAGUCGUGUUUGAAAGGCGCGGGCUCAACCCGCGGACGGCACAUGAUACUGCGAGACUAGAGUAAUGGAGGGGGAACCGGAAUUCUCGGUGUAGCAGUGAAAUGCGUAGAUAUCGAGAGGAACACUCGUGGCGAAGGCGGGUUCCUGGACAUUAACUGACGCUGAGGCACGAAGGCCAGGGGAGCGAAAGGG